RNAcentral lists this long non-coding RNA (3550 nucleotides) under Actinia tenebrosa (Australian red waratah sea anemone). RNAcentral describes it as "uncharacterized LOC116295091". The record is from RNAcentral. Lineage: Eukaryota; Metazoa; Cnidaria; Anthozoa; Actiniaria; Actiniidae.
GUAGAAUGUAAAUCUUGCCGUUUGGACACCAGUUGGACGAUAUAAUCUGCGUAGCGCUUCAAAUGUAUUCAUUUGCUCUUUCCUGAUCUAAGCUUUAGAAUGUGCCCAACACAGCGAGUAUCUUCAGAUUGGUUGGAAUUUUCUAUUAUUUCAAACCAAUUUACGUUGAAUUGAAUCUGUACUGGAGAAUCAACAGUAGCUUUUUGUAGGAAUUACCGAACCGAGGCACAGAAACACGGGUCCAAAGUACAAAGUAAACAAAGCGAAGGCCUAAAAAACAUUUUAUUUUGAAGGAAAUUUUCAGUUAAGUGUCACAAGCCAUUAAUAAAGGCGCUACUAGCAUUACCAUGGCUUCUGUUCCAAUUGAAAGUCAACUGUACUCGCGAUAUUUAUCAAAGCAGAGGAAAACUCAGACUGAAGAAAAAGAAGGCGGCAUUGCCGUAGUUUCAACAUCGGAGGUGUUCGACAGACCAACAAAGAAUUAUUUGUUUUCGACUUUAGCGUUGCCUCGUGCCCGACUUCUGCACCUUUUUAACGUGAGUUCCUGCAGCUCUGAAAAAAUGACAACCGACCUGAAUUUCAACAUCAAGGGGCCGCGUUGAAUUUAGCUGGGGUCGGAAAAAAGAUCAAAGGAAAAAAUGAAUCCGAUGUUUGAAAGGUAAUCCGGCUUUCGUGCAACAUAGAAAACCAUUUCACUGUUCUAUAUAGUCACUGAAAAUAGGAAAAAUCAGCUGGAGAAUUUAUGGGAAAUUGAUACUUGUCCCAAUGGUUUAGUUUGAACGCACAAUAUCUAAAUCCCAUAGUCUCUGUUGAAUUUUUCAUGAAUAAAAUCUAGGUAGAUGAUGAAACAGUCUAGUGUAAAAGUUAAUCUUGUAUAAGAAACUGGUGUACAACAGUAUGUAGCAGUGGAGUUUAACUAGUAAAUUAGAUCCGUUUUGAAUGGCGUGUGUGGAAUCGUACAAUUCUUACAACAUUGUAGGAAAACAUUAAAUUUGCCUAUGGAAUGUCAUAUUUGGCAACACCUUGAUUAAAAUCCUACUUUGUUGCAAAGAUGAAUACACAUACCAUUUAGAAUGACUAUAACGUGGAAAGCCAGAUGCACCUUUUGAGUAUCCAACAAAAGGAUGGUAGAAAGACUGGAAUUACUGCUUUUUUCAUAAACGUGAACUCUGUAGCUACCACCUCUUUCUCUUUUACUCCGUGAAGGACUAGCGUCCGAAACGUCAAAGUUUUUUCAUCUUUUCAUGGUGUAUAAUUUACCCUUUUAUCAUCAACUCUGUAGCUGUCUACUGCAUACUAAAAUUAGAUCUCUGCCGCCAUCCAAAANUAUGAAAGGUACCAAUUGAUUAGUUUUGACUGAUGGCAGUAAAAAAAAUAAAAUUCAGCAUGCAGCUUGCAACUACCAAGUUCGCAUGUUUAUGAAAAAGCAGUAAAUGUUCAGUGAUCUUAUUGCUGCAAACAUUAGUCAAGGGUAAGUUUUGCAGUGCAGUUGAUAUAAUAAUGGUUUUUGCUUGAGCUUAAUAUAUAAUGUAUGCUUGAUACUUUUAAUCAUAUAAUGGUAGUUGAAAUAUACAUGUAAUUAAUUGUAGUUUUCAAAAUUUGUAAUGGCUUGGUGACACUUUAUAGAUUGUAAAUAUGAUUUCAGAUAUUUUAUGGGCACUUUUGCAAGUGCAAAAUGAUUCCUCGUAUUCAACAGAAUUAUAGUUUGAGUGGAGAGUACUAGGGAAUGUUUCUAGUAAAUGUCAUGUUAGUAAGUUUGAUUGAUGAAAAAGUGGGCUCAACAGACUAUAUUUUUAAAGAAUCUUGUUUUGGAAUCGUCUAAUGCUUUCACUUUCACUUUCACUUUGAAAUCAUCUAAUGCAUUCAUGUUUGCUUUCAUUUUUAAAAGCUUCUCUCAUGUUUCUGCAGCCUCAGAAACUUUAAGAUUGGUUUCUUUUUACAAUUUAACAAACCAUGUAAAUUUAAUGACUGGAAGAUUUAUACCAAAACAUAAGNAAAUGUGCCACACAAGGAGUCGUCUGGCUCACAGAACCUGCAUGUAAAGCAAAAAAGAGUUUGUCCAAAAAGAAGUGAAGCCAAUAUGUUUGACAUAAUUAUUUUGUAAAAAGGGCUAAUAUAUACAAAACUGUUGCUAACUAUGAUUAUUGUGCAGCUAAAGUGGGGAAAAAGAAGAGAAAGAUGAUCAUAGUAACCACUUUGAAUGGAUAAUAUUUAGUGGUCAGACAAUGUAAACAAAACGAAUGAUGCAAUCUUCAUGUUUGCCGGCCUAAAAUGAAAGUGCAAGUUUUCAAAAAAUAGUGUGUGUUCUGAGAAAACAGUUUGUUUGUUUAGUGUCUAGCCACCAAAAAUAAGACAGCUUGCUACCCUUUGAGGAAAGGUUUUUUCUUUCUCUUUAUACACCAAAUUUGGCAACCAAUUUGAAUAAUAAUUAUUGUUCGUAACUGAAAAGCCUGGUGUUAAGGUGGAAAAAUAUAAGCAGUCACAUAUAUGAGAGGCUAGUCAGUCCAGAACAAUAGUUGCCAGAAAAAUUGGUUGCCAUAUUUCAAUAAUAAAUUGAGUGUAGAUGCUAAGCAGUGGACCUAAUGCUAAAAUAGGGGCACAAGAAACCUUGCAAACAGGGUACCAUUUUUGCUGGCUGGCCUUGCCAAAACAACUGAUUUGCAAGUGAUUGUAAUUUGGGAGUGGCAGUCAAAGGUUUGAUCCUAAGAUUCUGCAAGAAAGAGCUAAGAGUUAUAUACUUUUUUUACAUGUCGCUCUUUGUAUUACAGAAUGGGGACCAGCUGGGCUGGCAAAUCUUGAUUGCUUGUUUGAUAAAAAAUAAUAAUUUAUUGUGUUCCUGUGAUCUUGACAACAUAGUACAGAUUUAAUUUUUUUAAAUUUUUUGGCUUCCAUCCCUCUAACUAACGACGGACUGAAACCAAAAUUGUUUGAAGAUAGAAGCCAAGAGAAAACUUAACAACUGAAAGUNGUCACGUUUACAGAAACAUUGGAAGCAUAAUUAUAAUAUUUUCCUUCUUGAAACAAUGGGUUUGUUAGCAGGAAUCAUAGCCAUGCCUUAAUAGUACAUUGAUGAAGAUAUUCUUAUUGAUUGUAUAUCAUAGAGAUUGCAAUAAAUCUGUGAAAGAAUUAUGGCCAUUGAUUAAGAAAUGCAGCCAACACAAUUUUGGAAUCAAAAACAGCAGCAUGUAGCCUGUAUUGCAAGAGAAACAAGAUUGUCAACACUCAUCACAAAAAGAAAAAAAUGCAAAAAAGUUUAAAUAUUUGAACUUUUCCUCAGACAUUUAAAAAUUUUAUUAUCAGUGGGCAUGACAGAUACUACAGUCAUUUGUUUCAGAGAAAGAUCAGAGUACUUAUCUCAGGAACCUUUGCUACCCACACAGUUUAAUUAAGGAAAGACAUUUUUUUCUUUCACAGGCUCAUUGCAAUUUCUUUUUUCAUGAAGCAUGCAACCUUUUAUGACAGGCUUUUAGACUGAGCUUGUAUAAAUUGUAAUAUAGUUUUAAUGAUUAAUUUAUUGGAGUGUUGUAUUAUAGAUGAAAUACAGAGUGUA